Homo sapiens (human) is the source of this 488-nucleotide long non-coding RNA. The record is from Ensembl. NCBI's taxonomy places the organism in Eukaryota, Metazoa, Chordata, Mammalia, Primates, Hominidae.
AUAAAGGCCAUUCAGUGACGACAAAGAAGAAAGGUUAAGAAUGCCAUGUUGGAAGUCCUUUGAAUCCUGCAAAAAAAGAACUAUGCAAAUCCACUGUUGAUUGCCAAAGGGUUCCAGCACAAUAACUUUAGGGAAGAAGAGAAGAUGAUUUAACGACUGAGGUUUUUCCUUUUUUUUAUUGGUUGGUUGGUUUUUUUACAUCAGAUGGGUAAUGUGCAAAUGUGGUAACAAGGUUGGAGGGCAGCAUAUCUCGCACAUGAGUAUAAAUACCCAAUCAUCACACAUAAGUUGCAAAAGGAUCAACAACUGCAUUUUGUAAAGCUGUGAGGUUUUCUGUUAUUUUAAAUCCCCAUAAUAGGUCAGAACCCUUUGCUAGGCAUAAUGGAAGAGAUGGGUGUACAUUAUGUACAAUUUCUGUGUUCUGUGGUAGCCUAAGGAAAGAUGCCCAGAUCUGGAAAUAAAGCACAGCACCAUAAUGACAGUGAUCA